This is a long non-coding RNA of Astatotilapia calliptera (eastern happy), 2102 nucleotides long. Lineage: Eukaryota; Metazoa; Chordata; Actinopteri; Cichliformes; Cichlidae. The record is from Ensembl.
UGCCCUUGUGUUGCCUUCACUUACAUUGAAGUUUAAUAAUGAAGAAAUUAUUAUCCUAAUAAAAACUAAGCUCUUCUCUUUGUGAUCUGUUUUCUUCCACAGCUUCAAGUCAACAAUGUGAAGGGCAGAAUCAAUGGAAGGAACAUCCAGUGUCAAUUUGAUGCCACAGUACCAGUCUCUACUAGCGCCCAAACUAAAGCAGCCACAGACAGUACAAGUUUCUCAAUGUCAGUCUCCACUGGAACUUAUAAUGCCACUUCAGGGGAUCUGGGUAGCCCUGCUUUCCAAAUAACAACUAAUGUGGUAAACCUGAGUGAUGUUAAUGCCACCGUCACCAAUUUGGUUAGUUCCAACUCCACCAACACCACCACCACCACCACCACCAAACCCACCACCACCUCUGCUGCUAAUGCAAUUACAAUCCAGCAAUCAAUGAUGCAAGCUUUGCUGAUCACUGUGGGCAUCCUGACUCUGAGCUGGCUAUAAGGAAACUGAAACCUGCCCUACAUAACAGAUUAAAACUUCCCUAUCCAACCAUGCUACUAUUUUUAAACUCACAGGUUUACUAUCAACAGUAUGUCCCAGACUCCUAUGAUUAAUUUUGUGGGAAAAGGUCACAUUACAAAUCAGGACUGGUGGAGGGCAAUCACUUUCGAGAAGCUUUUUUUAUACUGCUUUUACAUGCAGUUAGAGAUUUGGUUGGAAUCAUUUGCAGAACUCUUUAAAACGGUGUGGUAAGAUGGGGCACAACUGCAUUAUUAAGAGUAACCGAACACAUAGUUUGAAUUAAGUGAACCAGAAUCACGGCUUUUACCAGUGUGUGCAAUUUAUGCAAAUUUUGGGUAAAGGGUCUGGUACCCUUUAAAGCCCACAUUUUUAUUGCUAAGCAAAAACAUUCGGUAAGUUUAUGGUUACUUUGAUUAUUAAACUGCUAAACCGUGUAAACAGAAACUGCUGGUAAACCAUUGUUUGCCUUUGUCUACCCUUAGAACACCAAAAGCAAAAUUCAUUUGCUGAUGAUGACAAUGAUGCCAGCAAAUGGCAGAGGUGCAUUUAAAAACAAUUAUGUUCUGAUAGUAUAUUUCUAUUAUAUGUUGUUUAUAUGAAUGCUGUUUGUUCAGCAGUACCUUUACAAUGAUGCCUUCAGUGGCUGAUGUUCACAUGUGUUGCUUGCUUUUUAGCAGGUGUUCACAAAUAAUGCUAUAUGUGGUACUACUGAAGAUGCUCGUGUAAUGAUUUUGUAUUACAUGUUUAUAAUUAAAUAUUUAUCAAAAAAAUAUUUUGUGUGUUUUCUGAUGGAUGUUGCUAGAUUUGAAUUGGAACUUUUAACGUUUAGUCAAUUUUGGGUGUUCUCAAAUGAAAUUACUUAAAACUACAAUAUUUUCACUACAUGCACUUUUCAUGCGGUGCAGUUGUGUCUUGCCAUAUAUUAAAGAGUCAGCCAGAUAAGUCACUGCCCAGAGCUUGUGACCAUAAGGAUACGAAUGCUGAUCAAUAUGAAGUGACACGUUCACUAUCUAGCUCAGAUCUCUCUCCACCCAAACAGAGCAGCACAGCAGCCACAUCAGUGUCAGGAGCCUGAGAUCCUCAACAUAUCCUAGAAACUUGCUCCCAAACCGGAGCAGGUGAAAACCAUGACAUUGAACUUGAGGAUGUUAAUUCUUAUCCCAACACUCACCCAGGAAAACCCCCAGUGCGAGUUAGAGAUCACGGUCUGAUGAAGCCGGGAGAAAAGCAUCAUCUGGAAAGUGCAGAAACGAGAUCCUGAGACCACCACCUUGAAUGCAACUAAAAAUUCUGUCCAUAAAUAUAAUGAACAAAAUCUGUGACAAAGGGCAGCUUUGUAGUCCAACAGCAAACAAGUGCAUACAAACAUGUAUGACAUGUCAACUGAUCCAACAUCUCUAUAUUUUGAUUACUUUGAGCUUGGGAAGAUCCUCAUCCAGAUGAUUAUUACAGCAGUGGAGUCAUUCUUCUUCAGCGUGACCUAAAGAGCGUUCAUUUCCACCUUGAAUCCUAUGUGUGUUUUUUUUUUAUUUAAGACCCAUGUCAAACAUUUACUAAAUAAAUAAUUCCAUUUAUUAAAACUGGGUGGAACUGGA